This 1456-nucleotide ribosomal RNA is filed under the name uncultured Bordetella sp. RNAcentral describes it as "partial 16S-23S ribosomal RNA intergenic spacer". It matches the Rfam family "Bacterial small subunit ribosomal RNA". The record is from RNAcentral. Lineage: Bacteria; Pseudomonadati; Pseudomonadota; Betaproteobacteria; Burkholderiales; Alcaligenaceae.
GGUUCGAUUAUGGCCAUGAUUGAACGCUGGCGGAUGCUUGCUACUAUUGCAAGUCGAACGGCAGUACGGACCGGUCUUGCGGGCGAGUGGCGAACGGGUGAGAAUAUAUCAUCGGAACGUGCCUAGUAGCGGAUAACGCGAGUGUAGCUAAUACUAUCGAGCAUACGCCCUUCGGGGGAAAGCGGGGACCUUCGGGCCUCGCACUAUUAGAGCGGCCGAUAUCGGAUUAGCUAGUUGCGGGGUAACGGCUCACCAAGGCGACGAUCCGUAGCUGGUUUGAGAGGACGACCAGCCACACUGGGACUGGAGAUUAUCGGCCCAGACUCACGGGAGGCAGUGGGAAAUUGACAAUGGGGAAACCCCUGAUCCAGCCAUCCUGCAAGGUGACAGCCUUCGGUUGUAAAGCACUUGGCAGGGAAAGAAACGGGCACGGGAUAAUACCCCAGGCAACUGAUUGCGUACCCCGCAGAAUAGGCACCGGCUAACUACGUGCCAGCAGCCGCGGUAAUACGUAGUGGGUGCAAGCGUUAAUCGGAAUUACUGGGCGUAAAGUGUGCGCAGGCGGUUCGGAAAGAAAGAUGUGAAAUCCCAGAGCUGAACUUUGGAACUGCAUUUUUAACUACCGGAGCUGAGGUCAGAGGGAGGUGGAAUUCCGCGUAGCAGGAAAUGCGUAGAUAUGAGGUGAACAACACCGAUGCUGAAGGCAGCCUCCUGGGAUAACACUGAUGUCAUGCACGAAAGCGUGGGGAGCAAACAGGAUUAGAUACCCUGGUAGUCUACGCCUUAAACGAUGUCAACUAGCUGUUGGGGCCUUCUGGCCUUGUAGCGCAGCGACCAGUGAAGUUGACCGCCUGGGGAGUACGGUCGCAAGAUUAAACCGAAUUGACGGUAACUUUCGCGGCCAAAUGGUGACAUGUGGAUUAAUUCCGAUGCAAAUUAAAACCUACCUACCCUUGACAUGUCUGGAAUCCCGAAGAGAUUUGGGAGUGCUCGCAAGAGAACCGGAACACGGUGCUGCAGCGGCUGUCGUCAGCUCGUGUCGUGGAGCGCUGGGUUAAGUCCCGCAACGAGCGCAACCCUUGUCAUUAGUUGCUACGAAAGGGCACUCUAAUGAGACUGCCGGUGACAAACCGGAGGAAGGUGGGGAUGACGUCAAGCCUCAUGGCCCUUAUGGUAGGGGCUUCACACGUCAUACAAUGGUCGGAGCAGGGUCGCCAACCCGCGAGGGGGAGCCAAUCCCAGAAACCCGAUCGUAGUCCGGAUCGCAGUCUGCAACUCGACUGCGUGAAGCCGGAAUCGCUAGUAAUCGCGGAUCAGCAUGUCGCGGUGAACAUGUCUGGUCUUGUACACACCGCCCGUCAAUCAUGGAGUGGUUUUACCAGAAGUAGUUAGCCUGAAUCCGGAGGGCGAUUACCAUGCGGUAGGAUCUAUGACUGGGGUGAAGUCAACAAGGUAA